GCCUGGCUAGCUCAGUUGGUAGAGUGUGUGAUUCUUGAUCUCCAGGUUGUGGGUUCGAGCCCCACGUUCGGUG
RNAcentral lists this transfer RNA (73 nucleotides) under Felis catus (domestic cat). It matches the Rfam family "tRNA". From Rfam's summary of the family: Transfer RNA (tRNA) molecules are approximately 80 nucleotides in length. Their secondary structure includes four short double-helical elements and three loops (D, anti-codon, and T loops). The record is from Rfam by way of RNAcentral. Lineage: Eukaryota; Metazoa; Chordata; Mammalia; Carnivora; Felidae.